This 538-nucleotide ribosomal RNA is filed under the name Bacillus subtilis. RNAcentral's name for it is "bacterial SSU rRNA". It matches the Rfam family "Bacterial small subunit ribosomal RNA", at positions 390 to 918 of the family's 1533-position model. The record is from RNAcentral. Lineage: Bacteria; Bacillati; Bacillota; Bacilli; Caryophanales; Bacillaceae.
AGCAACGCCGCGUGAGUGAUGAAGGCUUUCGGGUCGUAAAACUCUGUUGUUAGGGAAGAACAAGUGCUAGUUGAAUAAGCUGGCACCUUGACGGUACCUAACCAGAAAGCCACGGCUAACUACGUGCCAGCAGCCGCGGUAAUACGUAGGUGGCAAGCGUUAUCCGGAAUUAUUGGGCGUAAAGCGCGCGCAGGUGGUUUCUUAAGUCUGAUGUGAAAGCCCACGGCUCAACCGUGGAGGGUCAUUGGAAACUGGGAGACUUGAGUGCAGAAGAGGAAAGUGGAAUUCCAUGUGUAGCGGUGAAAUGCGUAGAGAUAUGGAGGAACACCAGUGGCGAAGGCGACUUUCUGGUCUGUAACUGACACUGAGGCGCGAAAGCGUGGGGAGCAAACAGGAUUAGAUACCCUGGUAGUCCACGCCGUAAACGAUGAGUGCUAAGUGUUAGAGGGUUUCCGCCCUUUAGUGCUGAAGUUAACGCAUUAAGCACUCCGCCUGGGGAGUACGGCCGCAAGGCUGAAACUCAAAGGAAUUGACGGGG